This 243-nucleotide long non-coding RNA is filed under the name Bos taurus (domestic cattle). RNAcentral's name for it is "long non-coding RNA NONBTAT006335". Lineage: Eukaryota; Metazoa; Chordata; Mammalia; Artiodactyla; Bovidae. The record is from RNAcentral.
GACAAUGCUUUAAACCUGUAACACGCCAGAGCGUAUCCUUCUCCUGGUGAAUGGGGCAUGGCAUCAGGGUGCUGAUGAUGAGAGAGUGUGGAGACCCAGACAUGAUCCCCAUCUACAGAGGCAUCUCCUACACAUGUCAAGCCUUGCAACUAUUUUUCCAAGUCUACUAGGCUGCAAUAGCCGGAGUCAUGGGAUUUUAACAGGCUGGUUUCCUGAGCAGGAGGAAGGCACCUCCAUUGGUUU